GGUUAAGCGACUAAGCGUACACGGUGGAUGCCCUGGCAGUCAGAGGCGAUGAAGGACGUGCUAAUCUGCGAUAAGCGUCGGUAAGGUGAUAUGAACCGUUAUAACCGGCGAUUUCCGAAUGGGGAAACCCAGUGUGAUUCGUCACACUAUCAUUAACUGAAUCCAUAGGUUAAUGAGGCGAACCGGGGGAACUGAAACAUCUAAGUACCCCGAGGAAAAGAAAUCAACCGAGAUUCCCCCAGUAGCGGCGAGCGAACGGGGAGCAGCCCAGAGCCUGAAUCAGUGUGUGUGUUAGUGGAAGCGUCUGGAAAGGCGCGCGAUACAGGGUGACAGCCCCGUACACAAAAAUGCACAUGCUGUGAGCUCGAUGAGUAGGGCGGGACACGUGGUAUCCUGUCUGAAUAUGGGGGGACCAUCCUCCAAGGCUAAAUACUCCUGACUGACCGAUAGUGAACCAGUACCGUGAGGGAAAGGCGAAAAGAACCCCGGCGAGGGGAGUGAAAAAGAACCUGAAACCGUGUACGUACAAGCAGUGGGAGCACGCUUAGGCGUGUGACUGCGUACCUUUUGUAUAAUGGGUCAGCGACUUAUAUUCUGUAGCAAGGUUAACCGAAUAGGGGAGCCGAAGGGAAACCGAGUCUUAACUGGGCGUUAAGUUGCAGGGUAUAGACCCGAAACCCGGUGAUCUAGCCAUGGGCAGGUUGAAGGUUGGGUAACACUAACUGGAGGACCGAACCGACUAAUGUUGAAAAAUUAGCGGAUGACUUGUGGCUGGGGGUGAAAGGCCAAUCAAACCGGGAGAUAGCUGGUUCUCCCCGAAAGCUAUUUAGGUAGCGCCUCGUGAAUUCAUCUCCGGGGGUAGAGCACUGUUUCGGCAAGGGGGUCAUCCCGACUUACCAACCCGAUGCAAACUGCGAAUACCGGAGAAUGUUAUCACGGGAGACACACGGCGGGUGCUAACGUCCGUCGUGAAGAGGGAAACAACCCAGACCGCCAGCUAAGGUCCCAAAGUCAUGGUUAAGUGGGAAACGAUGUGGGAAGGCCCAGACAGCCAGGAUGUUGGCUUAGAAGCAGCCAUCAUUUAAAGAAAGCGUAAUAGCUCACUGGUCGAGUCGGCCUGCGCGGAAGAUGUAACGGGGCUAAACCAUGCACCGAAGCUGCGGCAGCGACACUAUGUGUUGUUGGGUAGGGGAGCGUUCUGUAAGCCUGUGAAGGUGUGCUGUGAGGCAUGCUGGAGGUAUCAGAAGUGCGAAUGCUGACAUAAGUAACGAUAAAGCGGGUGAAAAGCCCGCUCGCCGGAAGACCAAGGGUUCCUGUCCAACGUUAAUCGGGGCAGGGUGAGUCGACCCCUAAGGCGAGGCCGAAAGGCGUAGUCGAUGGGAAACAGGUUAAUAUUCCUGUACUUGGUGUUACUGCGAAGGGGGGACGGAGAAGGCUAUGUUGGCCGGGCGACGGUUGUCCCGGUUUAAGCGUGUAGGCUGGUUUUCCAGGCAAAUCCGGAAAAUCAAGGCUGAGGCGUGAUGACGAGGCACUACGGUGCUGAAGCAACAAAUGCCCUGCUUCCAGGAAAAGCCUCUAAGCAUCAGGUAACAUCAAAUCGUACCCCAAACCGACACAGGUGGUCAGGUAGAGAAUACCAAGGCGCUUGAGAGAACUCGGGUGAAGGAACUAGGCAAAAUGGUGCCGUAACUUCGGGAGAAGGCACGCUGAUAUGUAGGUGAAGUCCCUUGCGGAUGGAGCUGAAAUCAGUCGAAGAUACCAGCUGGCUGCAACUGUUUAUUAAAAACACAGCACUGUGCAAACACGAAAGUGGACGUAUACGGUGUGACGCCUGCCCGGUGCCGGAAGGUUAAUUGAUGGGGUCAGCGCAAGCGAAGCUCUUGAUCGAAGCCCCGGUAAACGGCGGCCGUAACUAUAACGGUCCUAAGGUAGCGAAAUUCCUUGUCGGGUAAGUUCCGACCUGCACGAAUGGCGUAAUGAUGGCCAGGCUGUCUCCACCCGAGACUCAGUGAAAUUGAACUCGCUGUGAAGAUGCAGUGUACCCGCGGCAAGACGGAAAGACCCCGUGAACCUUUACUAUAGCUUGACACUGAACAUUGAGCCUUGAUGUGUAGGAUAGGUGGGAGGCUUUGAAGUGUGGACGCCAGUCUGCAUGGAGCCGACCUUGAAAUACCACCCUUUAAUGUUUGAUGUUCUAACGUUGACCCGUGAUCCGGGUUGCGGACAGUGUCUGGUGGGUAGUUUGACUGGGGCGGUCUCCUCCUAAAGAGUAACGGAGGAGCACGAAGGUUGGCUAAUCCUGGUCGGACAUCAGGAGGUUAGUGCAAUGGCAUAAGCCAGCUUGACUGCGAGCGUGACGGCGCGAGCAGGUGCGAAAGCAGGUCAUAGUGAUCCGGUGGUUCUGAAUGGAAGGGCCAUCGCUCAACGGAUAAAAGGUACUCCGGGGAUAACAGGCUGAUACCGCCCAAGAGUUCAUAUCGACGGCGGUGUUUGGCACCUCGAUGUCGGCUCAUCACAUCCUGGGGCUGAAGUAGGUCCCAAGGGUAUGGCUGUUCGCCAUUUAAAGUGGUACGCGAGCUGGGUUUAGAACGUCGUGAGACAGUUCGGUCCCUAUCUGCCGUGGGCGCUGGAGAACUGAGGGGGCUGCUCCUAGUACGAGAGGACCGGAGUGGACGCAUCACUGGUGUUCGGGUUGUCAUGCCAAUGGCACUGCCCGGUAGCUAAAUGCGGAAGAGAUAAGUGCUGAAAGCAUCUAAGCACGAAACUUGCCCCGAGAUGAGUUCUCCCUGACUCCUUGAGAGUCCUGAAGGAACGUUGAAGACGACGACGUUGAUAGGCCGGGUGUGUAAGCGCAGCGAUGCGUUGAGCUAACCGGUACUAAUGAACCGUGAGGCUUAACCUU
This 2902-nucleotide ribosomal RNA is filed under the name Escherichia coli. Its description in RNAcentral is "23S ribosomal RNA". It matches the Rfam family "Bacterial large subunit ribosomal RNA". The record is from RNAcentral. Lineage: Bacteria; Pseudomonadati; Pseudomonadota; Gammaproteobacteria; Enterobacterales; Enterobacteriaceae.